This 292-nucleotide ribosomal RNA is filed under the name uncultured Planctomycetota bacterium. Its description in RNAcentral is "uncultured planctomycete partial 16S ribosomal RNA". Lineage: Bacteria; Pseudomonadati; Planctomycetota. The record is from RNAcentral.
GGACUACUCGGGUAUCUAAUCCCGUUUGCUCCCCUGGCUUUCGCGCCUCAGCGUCAGAAAGGGUCCAGCACGUCGCUUUCGCCACCGGCGUUCCUUCCGAUAUCUACGCAUUUCACCGCUCCACCGGAAGUUCCACAUGCCCCUACCCCCCUCAAGACGGCCAGUAUCAGAAGCUGUUUUCCCGUUGAGCGGAAAGAUUUCACCCCUGACUUGGCCACCCGCCUACGCGCCCUUUAAGCCCAGUGAUUCCGAACAACGUUUGCACGGUUCGUCUUACCGCGGCUGCUGGCAC